Molecule: unclassified non-coding RNA, 269 nt
Filed under: Aphelenchus avenae
Lineage: Eukaryota; Metazoa; Nematoda; Chromadorea; Rhabditida; Aphelenchidae
Description: ITS1
Source: RNAcentral
AUGAUUCGAUGUUUCAUUGCCUUUAUAAUGAGCAAGGUGCGAGAUACUUGCUUAGCGAGUUCCGUCUGGCCACGCUCCAUGCGAGAGGAGAAGGUCGGACCGCUAAAACGAAACGGCCAUGCAGGUUUCUGUCGCACACGUUGAGCAGUUGUGACUGUCCGUGACUGCUAUGAUACAGUGCGAGUGCGCUUCGAGCGAAGAAUUAAAGAGCACACGCUAGGUGCCGCCUGCCGAUUACCCUAUUUUUCAUCAUUUUCAUUUAAAGAGUA